Molecule: ribosomal RNA, 253 nt
Filed under: uncultured bacterium
Lineage: Bacteria
Description: partial 16S ribosomal RNA
Rfam family: Bacterial small subunit ribosomal RNA
Source: RNAcentral
UACGGAGGGGGCAAGCGUUAUUCGGAUUUAUUGGGCGUAAAGAGCGUGUAGGCGGCCAGAUAGGUCCGUUGUGAAAACUCGAGGCUCAACCUCGAGACGCCGAUGGAAACCAUUUGGCUAGAGUCCGGAAGAGGAGAGUGGAAUUCCUGGUGUAGCGGUGAAAUGCGCAGAUAUCAGGAGGAACACCAAUGGCGAAGGCAGCUCGCUGGGACGUGACUGACGCUGAGACGCGAAAGCGUGGGGAGCAAACAGG